This 316-nucleotide long non-coding RNA is filed under the name Gallus gallus (chicken). Lineage: Eukaryota; Metazoa; Chordata; Aves; Galliformes; Phasianidae. The record is from RNAcentral.
CUUCUGUUGCAUGGCUAGUGCAUUUGCUUCUCUCUGAAGUAAUAAUGAGUUACUUUUGGCCUGCUGUAAUUCAAUACUUAAUAGAUCUCCAGUGCUGGAAUGCUUUCUGUGACCAGACAAAUCUGUAACUAUGAAUCUGUCCCGUUCUGCAUAACGUGCUGAUGAUGCUGAAUCUGAGCCAUAAGAACUCCACCUUGAGUCAACAGCAUUGACAUAAGGAACAUAAUCUGAUACACUGAUGGGCUUAGUUGCACUUCCUUGGGAAGCAGUGGCCUGAAUUGGAUCUGUUGUGUGAUAACCCGUGCGGGAUGACCUG